This 559-nucleotide ribosomal RNA is filed under the name Brettanomyces bruxellensis. RNAcentral's name for it is "LSU rRNA". It matches the Rfam family "Eukaryotic large subunit ribosomal RNA", at positions 76 to 646 of the family's 3401-position model. The record is from RNAcentral. Lineage: Eukaryota; Fungi; Ascomycota; Pichiomycetes; Pichiales; Pichiaceae.
UGCCCCAGUAAUGGCGAAUGAAGCGGCAAGAGCCCAAAUUUGAAAUCGGGCAACCGAGUUGUAAUUUGGAGACGGGACACUAGAGAGGAGGAAGGCGAUUAAGUGCCUUGGAACAGGCUGCCGUAGAGGGUGAGAGCCCCGUGAAUCGCUGGAGACCGAUCAAUUAGUGCCCGCCGAAGAGUCGAGUUGUUUGGGAAUGCAGCUCUAAGUGGGUGGUAUAUUCCAUCUAAGGCUAAAUAUUAGCGAGAGACCGAUAGCAAACAAGUACAGUGAUGGAAAGAUGAAAAGAACUUUGGAAAGAGAGUGAAAUAGUACGUGAAAUUGUUGAAAGGGAAGGGUAUUUGAUCCGACAUGGUGUUUAGCAGCGGCCCGUUCCUCGUGGAUGGGUGCACCUGGUUUACACUGGGCCAGCAUCGGUUCUGGGAGCCAUAUACGGGGUUCGUGAAUGUGGCCCUUCGAUUCUGUCGGAGGGUGUUAUAGCGCGGACAUCUUGUGGCUAGCCGGGACCGGGGACUGCGGUGACUUGUCACCAAGGAUGCUGGCAGAACGAGCAAAUACC